RNAcentral lists this transfer RNA (77 nucleotides) under Barnesiella viscericola DSM 18177. RNAcentral describes it as "tRNA-Met". It matches the Rfam family "tRNA". From Rfam's summary of the family: Transfer RNA (tRNA) molecules are approximately 80 nucleotides in length. Their secondary structure includes four short double-helical elements and three loops (D, anti-codon, and T loops). Lineage: Bacteria; Pseudomonadati; Bacteroidota; Bacteroidia; Bacteroidales; Barnesiellaceae. The record is from RNAcentral. RNAcentral also lists the same sequence under 1 other name.
GGCGAGAUAGCUCAGUUGGUUAGAGCGCAUGAUUCAUAAUCAUGAGGUCCCGGGAUCAUACCCCGGUCUCGCUACAA